RNAcentral lists this transfer RNA (90 nucleotides) under Flavobacteriales bacterium MED-G22. RNAcentral describes it as "tRNA-Ser(gga)". It matches the Rfam family "tRNA". Rfam says of the family: Transfer RNA (tRNA) molecules are approximately 80 nucleotides in length. Their secondary structure includes four short double-helical elements and three loops (D, anti-codon, and T loops). Lineage: Bacteria; Pseudomonadati; Bacteroidota; Flavobacteriia; Flavobacteriales. The record is from RNAcentral.
AGAGAGGUGGCCGAGUGGUCGAAGGCGCACGCCUGGAAAGCGUGUAUUCCGUCAACACGGAAUCGAGGGUUCGAAUCCCUUCCUCUCUGC